ACCCUUCCACAGAAUCACUUAGGGUGGAAAGUCUGAGAUCUUUAUCCUCAAAAUAGGGAGAAAAAUUUCACAACGAUGACUGUGAAAUAAGACACCAUCCUACUUCAACGAGAAGAUAAAAGCCACAAGACAGAAACCCAUCAUUCCUCCUCCAUAAAAUACUGAGUAGCUUUGUCCAAUCCCCUCUGUCUCUGAAGAAGAAGAAGAAGAUGCUUUUGGGCUGCGGAUCUCACUCUCAUCCCUUAUCUUUUGAUCUUGCUGCUUCCUCUACUUUUUUAUUCACCCAUUGUGAUUCCCUUUCUAAUGAAAAUUUUCUUACUACAGAUGAAGAGUGGGCUCACUUUUGCUCACAUGGUAUCCUCAGAGCCUCUCCCAGCAUAGAGGCUCAGUAAAUAACUGCUCCCUAAUCAUUCAUUGGGUGCCUUCUAGGAGUUGGUUUGCAAGACAAAAACACCUUCUAAAGAGCCAGUGUUGACUUCUAACUUCUCUUCAAAAAGACAUGAUCUCCUUUUCUCCCUGCACAAGGACCAUUUUCCUAGUCUGAAGGGAAUAAGAAGAAAUAUUGGUUCAAGCUGUUUAAGUUAAGAGUUUCUAUCUCACACCUGGACAGUAUCGUUAGAGCAUGACAUGCGUCUUCUUACCAAGCCACAAUCUGAUGUUUCCA
Suricata suricatta (meerkat) is the source of this 664-nucleotide long non-coding RNA. RefSeq lists it as uncharacterized. The record is from RefSeq and is a predicted model, not a curated record. Lineage: Eukaryota; Metazoa; Chordata; Mammalia; Carnivora; Herpestidae. The transcript is spliced from 3 exons.